GUCUUCGGACCUAGCGGCGGACGGGUGAGUAACGCGUGGGAACAUACCCUUCACUACGGAAUAGUCCCGGGAAACUGGGUUUAAUACCGUAUACGCCCUUCGGGGGAAAGAAUUUCGGUGAAGGAUUGGCCCGCGUUAGAUUAGGUAGUUGGUGGGGUAACGGCCUACCAAGCCUACGAUCUAUAGCUGGUUUUAGAGGAUGAUCAGCCACACUGGGACUGAGACACGGCCCAGACUCCUACGGGAGGCAGCAGUGAGGAAUCUUAGACAAUGGGGGCAACCCUGAUCUAGCCAUGCCGCGUGUGUGAUGAAGGCCUUAGGGUCGUAAAGCACUUUCGCCAGGGAUGAUAAUGACAGUACCUGGUAAAGAAACCCCGGCUAACUCCGUGCCAGCAGCCGCGGUAAUACGGAGGGGGUUAGCGUUGUUCGGAAUUACUGGGCGUAAAGCGCACGUAGGCGGAUCGGAAAGUUGGGGGUGAAAUCCCGGGGCUCAACCCCGGAACUGCCUCCAAAACUAUCGGUCUGGAGUUCGAGAGAGGUGAGUGGAAUUCCGAGUGUAGAGGUGAAAUUCGUAGAUAUUCGGAGGAACACCAGUGGCGAAGGCGGCUCACUGGCUCGAUACUGACGCUGAGGUGCGAAAGUGUGGGGAGCAAACAGGAUUAGAUACCCUGGUAGUCCACACCGUAAACGAUGAAUGCCAGUCGUCGGGUAGCAUGCUAUUCGGUGACACACCUAACGGAUUAAGCAUUCCACCUGGGGAGUACGGUCGCAAGAUUAAAACUCAUAGGAAUUGACGGGGGGCCCGC
RNAcentral lists this ribosomal RNA (806 nucleotides) under uncultured bacterium. RNAcentral describes it as "bacterial SSU rRNA". It matches the Rfam family "Bacterial small subunit ribosomal RNA", at positions 82 to 924 of the family's 1533-position model. The record is from RNAcentral.